UACAGAGGUCUCAAGCGUUGUUCGGAUUCAUUGGGCGUAAAGGGUGCGUAGGUGGCGGGGUAAGUCUGGUGUGAAAUCUCGGGGCUCAACCCCGAAACUGCACUGGAUACUGCCUUGCUAGAGUACUGGAGAGGAGAUUGGAAUUUACGGUGUAGCAGUGAAAUGCGUAGAUAUCGUAAGGAAGACCAGUGGCGAAGGCGAAUCUCUGGACAGUUACUGACACUGAGGCACGAAGGCCAGGGGAGCAAACGGG
RNAcentral lists this ribosomal RNA (253 nucleotides) under uncultured bacterium. RNAcentral describes it as "partial 16S ribosomal RNA". It matches the Rfam family "Bacterial small subunit ribosomal RNA", at positions 524 to 776 of the family's 1533-position model. The record is from RNAcentral.